UACGUAGGGUGCGAGCGUUAAUCGGAAUUACUGGGCGUAAAGCGUGCGCAGGCGGUUUUUUACGCCAGAUGUGAAAGCCCCGGGCUUAACCUGGGAAUGGCAUUUGGGACUGCAAGGCUUGAGUGCGGCAGAGGAGACUGGAAUUCCCGGUGUAGCAGUGAAAUGCGUAGAUAUCGGGAGGAAUACCGAUGGCGAAGGCAGGUCUCUGGGCUGACACUGACGCUCAUGCACGAAAGCGUGGGGAGCAAACAGG
Molecule: ribosomal RNA, 253 nt
Filed under: uncultured bacterium
Lineage: Bacteria
Description: partial 16S ribosomal RNA
Rfam family: Bacterial small subunit ribosomal RNA
Source: RNAcentral